GAGGGUAUAGCUCAGUGGUAGAGUGUCUGCUUAGCAUGUAUAAGGUCCUGGAUUCAAUCCCAGUACUCCA
This 70-nucleotide transfer RNA is filed under the name Camelus bactrianus (Bactrian camel). It matches the Rfam family "tRNA". From Rfam's summary of the family: Transfer RNA (tRNA) molecules are approximately 80 nucleotides in length. Their secondary structure includes four short double-helical elements and three loops (D, anti-codon, and T loops). Further hydrogen bonds mediate the characteristic L-shaped molecular structure. tRNAs have two regions of fundamental functional importance: the anti-codon, which is responsible for specific mRNA codon recognition, and the 3' end, to which the tRNAs corresponding amino acid is attached (by aminoacyl-tRNA synthetases). tRNAs cope with the degeneracy of the genetic code in two manners: having more than one tRNA (with a specific anti-codon) for a particular amino acid; and 'wobble' base-pairing, i.e. permitting non-standard base-pairing at the 3rd anti-codon position. The record is from Rfam by way of RNAcentral. RNAcentral also lists the same sequence under 1 other name. Lineage: Eukaryota; Metazoa; Chordata; Mammalia; Artiodactyla; Camelidae.